This 525-nucleotide long non-coding RNA is filed under the name Salmo salar (Atlantic salmon). RNAcentral describes it as "lncRNA (ENSSSAG00000086934.1, ENSSSAG00020065123.1, ENSSSAG00075055078.1)". Lineage: Eukaryota; Metazoa; Chordata; Actinopteri; Salmoniformes; Salmonidae. The record is from RNAcentral.
CUGUCACAACACUGAGGGGCAAAACGACAGCCGUGUCGCUAGGCCUGGAAUAGAUCUGCUGAAGACAUAGAAUGUGAUUGGAAUGGAAACUGGGAGACUGAGUCCCUGACUGGGCAGGAGGAAAUACCAAACGAAUCGUUCCUGUCUCGAAUGAUGCAGGCAGAGGAUAGGAAGAAAACAAAACUCAGUGUGAGUUCCAGCAAAGGCGUGGUGGAGGAAUAUUGUCUAAGAGAGCGACCAAAAGAGGACACAGCAAAAAUGAAGAACAAAGUGACCAGCACACAAGUGAUUGGUAAGAAGAAGGCCUGGUCGUGGGAUCAGUACCUGAGAGAGGAGAAGGCCAUAGCAGUUCCCCUCAGACUGUUCACUGAGGUAAGCAUCACCUUCAUCAACCAGUAGGACUAUCUACUACUAAAGAUUGACACGAGAGUCCUAUACAUUAGGGCACACCAUAACAACGGAACAUUUUGCAACAGAAAAUGAAAAUGUUCAGGUAGUUCCGCAUGUUUGUCUGUUUUCAUUCCG